CUCUUUCAGUAGGGACGAAGCGACUCGGUCUUUCAGCCGUGACCGUACCUGCAGAAGAAGCGCCGGCUAACUACGUGCAGCAGCCGCGGUAAUAAGUAAGGCGCAAGCCUUGUCCGGAAUUAUUGGGCGUAAAGAGCUAGUAAGCGGUUUGUCGCGUCUGGUGUGAAAACUCAAGGCUCAACCUUGAGCUUGCAUCGGGUACGGGCAGACUAGAGUGUGGUAGGGGUGACUGGAAUUCCUGGUGUAGCGGUGGAAUGCGCAGAUAUCAGGAGGAANNNNNAUGGCGAAGGCAGGUCACNNNNNNNNNUACUGACGCUGAGGAGCGAAAGCAUGGGGAGCGAACAGGAUUAGAUACCCUGGUAGUCCAUGCCGUAAACGUUGGGCACUAGGUGUGGGGCUCAUUCCACGAGUUCCGCGCCGCAGCUAACGCAUUAAGUGCCCCGCCUGGGGAGUACGGCCGCAAGGCUAAAACUCAAAGGAAUUGACGGGGGCCCGCACAAGCGGCGGAGCAUGCGGAUUAAUUCGAUGCAACGCGAAGAACCUUACCAAGGCUUGACAUACACCGGAAUCGGCCAGAGAUGGUCGCGUCUUCGGACUGGUGUACAGGUGGUGCAUGGUUGUCGUCAGCUCGUGUCGUGAGAUGUUGGGUUAAGUCCCGCAACGAGCGCAACCCUCGUCCUAUGUUGCCAGCACGUCAUGGUGGGGACUCAUAGGAGACUGCCGGGGUCAACUCGGAGGAAGGCGGNGCGCGAA
Molecule: ribosomal RNA, 753 nt
Filed under: uncultured bacterium
Lineage: Bacteria
Description: bacterial SSU rRNA
Rfam family: Bacterial small subunit ribosomal RNA
Source: RNAcentral